AGGUGUUUAGCUCAGAGGGAGAGCAUCGUCGUUACAAGGCGUUUGUCAAGAGUUCGAUUCUCUUAACACCAA
This 72-nucleotide transfer RNA is filed under the name Candidatus Nasuia deltocephalincola. RNAcentral describes it as "Candidatus Nasuia deltocephalinicola tRNA". It matches the Rfam family "tRNA". Rfam says of the family: Transfer RNA (tRNA) molecules are approximately 80 nucleotides in length. Their secondary structure includes four short double-helical elements and three loops (D, anti-codon, and T loops). The record is from Rfam by way of RNAcentral. Lineage: Bacteria; Pseudomonadati; Pseudomonadota; Betaproteobacteria.